UACGUAGGGGGCAAGCGUUAUCCGGAUUUACUGGGUGUAAAGGGAGCGUAGACGGCAGAGCAAGUCUGAUGUGAAAAUCUGGGGCUUAACCCCAGAACUGCAUUGGAAACUGUUUUGCUAGAGUGCCGGAUAGGUAAGCGGAAUUCCUAGUGUAGCGGUGAAAUGCGUAGAUAUUAGGAGGAACACCAGUGGCGAAGGCGGCUUACUGGACGGUAACUGACGUUGAGGCUCGAAAGCGUGGGUAUCGAACAGG
Molecule: ribosomal RNA, 253 nt
Filed under: uncultured bacterium
Lineage: Bacteria
Description: partial 16S ribosomal RNA
Rfam family: Bacterial small subunit ribosomal RNA
Source: RNAcentral